UACAGAGGGGGCAAGCGUUGUUCGGAAUUACUGGGCGUAAAGGGCGCGUAGGCGGCCCGCUAAGUCGAACGUGAAAUCCCCGGGCUCAACCCGGGAACUGCGUCCGAUACUGGCGGGCUUGAAUCCGGGAGAGGGAUGCGGAAUUCUAGGUGUAGCGGUGAAAUGCGUAGAUAUCUGGAGGAACACCGGUGGCGAAGGCGGCAUCCUGGACCGGCAUUGACGCUGAGGCGCGAAAGCCAGGGGAGCAAACGGG
This 253-nucleotide ribosomal RNA is filed under the name uncultured bacterium. RNAcentral describes it as "partial 16S ribosomal RNA". It matches the Rfam family "Bacterial small subunit ribosomal RNA", at positions 524 to 776 of the family's 1533-position model. The record is from RNAcentral.